This 497-nucleotide ribosomal RNA is filed under the name uncultured bacterium. Its description in RNAcentral is "partial 16S ribosomal RNA". It matches the Rfam family "Bacterial small subunit ribosomal RNA", at positions 28 to 507 of the family's 1533-position model. The record is from RNAcentral.
GAUGAACGCUGGCGGCGUGCCUAAUACAUGCAAGUCGAGCGAACAGACGAGGAGCUUGCUCCUCUGACGUUAGCGGCGGACGGGCGAGUAACACGUGGAUAACCUACCUAUAAGACUGGGAUAACUUCGGGAAACCGGAGCUAAUACCGGAUAAUAUAUUGAACCGCAUGGUUCAAUAGUGAAAGACGGUUUUGCUGUCACUUAUAGAUGGAUCCGCGCCGCAUUAGCUAGUUGGUAAGGUAACGGCUUACCAAGGCAACGAUGCGUAGCCGACCUGAGAGGGUGAUCGGCCACACUGGAACUGAGACACGGUCCAGACUCCUACGGGAGGCAGCAGUAGGGAAUCUUCCGCAAUGGGCGAAAGCUUGACGGAGCAACGCCGCGUGAGUGAUGAAGGUCUUCGGAUCGUAAAACUCUGUUAUUAGGGAAGAACAAAUGUGUACGUAACUAUGCACGUCUUGACGGUACCUAAUCAGAAAGCCAUGGCUAACUACGUG